Long non-coding RNA from Oncorhynchus keta (chum salmon), 1475 nucleotides. RefSeq lists it as uncharacterized. The transcript has 3 exons. The record is from RefSeq and is a predicted model, not a curated record. NCBI's taxonomy places the organism in Eukaryota, Metazoa, Chordata, Actinopteri, Salmoniformes, Salmonidae.
CAUGAUCUGUCUAACACAACAACAUGUUAAUAUCUCUAAUUUUUUUCCCUCAUGCCUGUGAUAGCACAUCUUCCCUUUGUCUGCUGUAAUCUAAAAUCUUUACAACAUUCUCUUUGCUGCUGUGGUAAGGAAACCUGAUGCAUGUUGGAUAUAAGUAAGUUAGGGACUCUACAAUAGUAAGGAAUCUAUUGGUAGUAAGAUAGGAAAUCGAAAUACAUGUGAUAUUGGGGGUACUAAAUGUAUAUCCAGGAGAAACUGUGAGGGUCAUAGUACAUCCAGGUUAAUCAGGAGAAACUGUGAGGGUCAUAGUACAUCCAGGUUAAUCAGGAGAAACUGUGAGGGUCAUAGUACAUCCAGGUUAAUCAGGAGAAACUGUGAGGGUCAUAGUACAUCCAGGUUAAUCAGGAGAAACUGUGAGGGUCAUUGUACAUCCAAGUUAAUCAGGAGAAACUGAGGGUCAUAGUACAUUCAGGUUAAUCAGGAGAAACUGUGAGGGUCAUAGUACAUCCAGGUUAAUCAGGAGAAACUGUGAGGGUCAUAGUACAUCCAGGUUAAUCAGGAGAAACUGUGAGGGUCAUAGUACACCCACGUUAAUCAGGAGAAACUGUGAAGGUCCUAGUACAUCCAGGUUAAUCAGGAGAAAUUGUGAGGGUCAUAGUACAUCCAGGUUAAUCAGGAUCAACUGUGAGGGUCAUAGUACAUCCAGGUUAAUCAGGAGAAAUUGUGAGGGUCAUAGUACAUCCAGGUUAUCCAGGAGAAACUGUGAGAGUCAUAGUACAUCCAGGUUAAUCAGGAGAAACUGUGAGGGUCAUAGUACAUCCAGGUUAAUCAGGAGAAACUGUGAGGGUCAUAGUACAUCCAGGUUAAUCAGGAGAAAUUGUGAGGGUCAUAGUACAUCCAGGUUAAUCAGGAGAAACUGUGAGGGUCAUAGUACAACCAGGUUAAUCAGGAGAAACUGUGAGGGUCAUAGUACAUCCAGGUUAUAUAGGAGAAACUGUGAGGGUCAUAGUACACCCAGGUUAAUCAGGAGAAACUGUGAGGGUCAUAGUACAUCCAGGUUAUAUAGGAGAAACUGUGAGGGUCAUAGUACACCCAGGUUAAUCAGGAGAAACUGUGAGGGUCAUAGCAAGCCUAUCUGGUACUACUGACAGUCAUACCAGUAUAGCCUGUCCUCUGUAUCAGGCCUCUCUGGAUUUACUCAUAGACAUACCAGUAUAGCCUGCAUAGACAUACCAGUAUACAGAGGACAGGCUAUACUGGUAUGUCUAUGAGUAGUACCAGAGAGGAUUGAUACAGAGGACGAGCCUGUCCUCCUGUCAUACCUGGACUAGCCUGUCCUCUGUAUCAAUCCUCUCUCGUACUACUCAUAGACAUACCAGUAUAGUCUGUCCUGUGUUUUUCUGUCCCAUUCUAUUUCUCUGCUAUGUUGUAUUUCACCCCAUAAUAACACACUGUCUGAUAUACAGUAUUAUUUC